UCUCUCCACGUUCGGUUCAACCUCGACUGCUCUCUUGGCACUUCUGAUAAUCGAUUUUGUCUUCACUCUUGCAAAAGCUUCUCAAUUCCCAACUGCCAAGAUAUUGGGUUCACCUUUUCACAAAAGACCCCGAAGUUAUGUCCAUCUCUUCUACAGACGGAUCGCAAUUUGAUACCUAUACUUCUAGAAUCCAAUAGGGUUCAUCCUUUUAGGUUUGGCAGGUCUCAGUACAGUUUAAGUUGUUGAUGCAUAUUGAAUUUGUGCGAUGACACCCGAACGCCGUCGACGGCGUCUUUCACACUGCGAAAGACAAUGUAUAAAUUAUCAAUGAGUCGUUUGUACAAGAUGAUAUGAUUAGGAUCCCAGAUGCAUUGGUUAUUCCUUGGGUUGGUGAUGAAUCUCUUGGCCAACUAAUUGCUUCUAUAUUUCCAGGUUUAGAGGACAAUGCAUUUGAUAGGUUUUAUAUGGUGGAUAGAGCUAUUAUAACGCCUAGG
Rosa rugosa (rugosa rose) is the source of this 494-nucleotide long non-coding RNA. RefSeq lists it as uncharacterized. The record is from RefSeq and is a predicted model, not a curated record. NCBI's taxonomy places the organism in Eukaryota, Viridiplantae, Streptophyta, Magnoliopsida, Rosales, Rosaceae. The transcript is spliced from 3 exons.